This 253-nucleotide ribosomal RNA is filed under the name uncultured bacterium. RNAcentral's name for it is "partial 16S ribosomal RNA". It matches the Rfam family "Bacterial small subunit ribosomal RNA", at positions 524 to 776 of the family's 1533-position model. The record is from RNAcentral.
UACGGGGGGGGCAAGCGUUGUUCGGAAUUACUGGGCGUAAAGGGCUCGUAGGUGGCCAACUAAGUCAGACGUGAAAUCCCUCGGCUUAACCGGGGAACUGCGUCUGAUACUGGAUGGCUUGAGUUCGGGAGAGGGAUGCGGAAUUCCAGGUGUAGCGGUGAAAUGCGUAGAUAUCUGGAGGAACACCGGUGGCGAAGGCGGCUCUCUGGAACGCAACUGACGCUGAGACGCGAAAGCGUGGGGAGCAAACAGG